This 681-nucleotide ribosomal RNA is filed under the name Platycheirus rosarum. RNAcentral describes it as "SSU rRNA". It matches the Rfam family "Eukaryotic small subunit ribosomal RNA", at positions 386 to 997 of the family's 1831-position model. Lineage: Eukaryota; Metazoa; Arthropoda; Insecta; Diptera; Syrphidae. The record is from RNAcentral.
GAGAGGGAGCCUGAGAAACGGCUACCACAUCUAAGGAAGGCAGCAGGCGCGUAAAUUACCCACUCCCAGUUCGGGGAGGUAGUGACGAAAAAUAACAAUACAGGACUCAUAUCCGAGGCCCUGUAAUUGGAAUGAGUACACUUUAAAUCCUUUAACAAGGACCUAUUGAAGGGCAAGUCUGGUGCCAGCAGCCGCGGUAAUUCCAGCUUCAAUAGCGUAUAUUAAAGUUGUUGCGGUUAAAACGUUCGUAGUUGAAUUUGUGCUUCAUACGGGUAGUACAAACCAUAAUUUUGGACUGUACAUUACCUUAUGUAUGCAAGCGUAUUACCGGUGGAGUUCUAAUAUUUAAUGGUGCUUUGCAUUAUUAUUUAUACCUCCUAUUUAAACCUGCUUCAGUGCUCUUCAUCGAGUGUUGUUGUGGGCCGGUACAAUUACUUUGAACAAAUUAGAGUGCUUAAAGCAGGCUCCAAAUGCCUGAAUAUUUUGUGCAUGGAAUAAUGAAAUAAGACCUCUGAUCUACUUUCAUUGGUUUUUAGAUCAAGAGGUAAUGAUUAAUAGAAGCAGUUUGGGGGCAUUAGUAUUACGACGCGAGAGGUGAAAUUCUUGGACCGUCGUAAGACUAACUUAAGCGAAAGCAUUUGCCAAAGAUGUUUUCAUUAAUCAAGAACGAAAGUUAGAGGU